AGCUUGUAACCCAAGUGGGGGCACCAAGGUGAUGGAACAUGGCUCUGGUGUCGUUGGGCUGGGCUGUUAGCUGCAAUAAGUGGCCUGCCCACUCCAAGUUGAGAGUUGGGCCAUGGGGCUUUAGCGAAGGCUCUAGCUUCCUGGUUCCUAAACUGGAGGGCACGGCGUGAGGCUGGUUUCACAGAGCAGCGAUAACCUCCGGCUCCUGACAGUGGAGGGAUAACGGGCCGCUGCACUCUCAGCCCACUACGCCCGGUGAGCCUGGCCUCUUGAACCAUCAU
RNAcentral lists this signal recognition particle RNA (281 nucleotides) under Lotus japonicus. Its description in RNAcentral is "Plant signal recognition particle RNA". It matches the Rfam family "Plant signal recognition particle RNA". The record is from Rfam by way of RNAcentral. Lineage: Eukaryota; Viridiplantae; Streptophyta; Magnoliopsida; Fabales; Fabaceae.